GAUGGUCUUCUUCUCUACACGAAAAGAGAAAUAUUAUAUAUAUUAUGUCCAUUUCAGCUGUUGUCGGCCUCAAACCGUCAUAUGGACAAGAGAUAGUGGGCAAAAAAGUUGAGGUUUAAUGGUAGUUGGAUAAAAUCUGGUACAAAAAUUGUGUGAAAUCUUUCGACAGUUCUUCUAAUGAAAUUUGAUCAAGCAUAAUGAUGGUGGU
This 208-nucleotide long non-coding RNA is filed under the name Solanum tuberosum (potato). Its description in RNAcentral is "long non-coding RNA (STUB_LNC005916)". Lineage: Eukaryota; Viridiplantae; Streptophyta; Magnoliopsida; Solanales; Solanaceae. The record is from RNAcentral.